This 183-nucleotide ribosomal RNA is filed under the name uncultured bacterium. RNAcentral's name for it is "partial 16S ribosomal RNA". It matches the Rfam family "Bacterial small subunit ribosomal RNA", at positions 1319 to 1500 of the family's 1533-position model. The record is from RNAcentral.
CACGAAGCUGGAAUCGCUAGUAAUCGCGAAUCAGAAUGUCGCGGUGAAUACGUUCCCGGGUCUUGUACACACCGCCCGUCACACCAUGGGAGUCGGGAAUGCCCGAAGUCAGUGACCCAACCAUAUGGAGGGAGCUGCCGAAGGCAGGUCUGAUAACUGGGGGUGAAGUCGUAACAAGGUAUC